UGCUUCACCAUAGGCAGCAUCUGCGGGAGAAACCUUGGAGCCGACAGCAGCUGCUCCGAUGAGAACAGUGAGAGCUAACCGGCGAGAUAUUGAUGCGUCGGCGGUUGUAGCUUCAUCUCGUUUCUGUGAGCGGCAGACGAUGAGUUGGUUGGGCUUGAUCGGAGCCUGGCGGGAUGAAGACGAUGAUGAUCUGCAGGCUGGGGUUGAGAGAGCAUGGAAACAUGAAGUGGCAGCCAUGGUUGUGGUGGAGAGAGGAGGCGGUGGUUUGGUGAGUGUGAUUGCAGAAAUGGAAGCCGAGGGUAAAGAGAGAUUAAGAGAAAGGAUUGGUUGGAAAUGGAUGAGAGGAAGAUGAGAUUAUUGGGUUUGGAUAAGGGUGUAUUGGCUGAAAUUGGUGCCAACUGUGAACGAGAUGAUCUUCAACUGUACUCGGAUUGUCAAGGUGGGGUACAAAGGGACAAGGGGUGUGUCAAACCCGAUUAUCUUAAUAAUAUAAUUAAAAGUCGUAGUAAUUGGUUUUUCAUGUAUUAAUUAUCUGAUUAUGUAGAUUAAUAAUCAGUAUA
RNAcentral lists this long non-coding RNA (560 nucleotides) under Lactuca sativa (garden lettuce). RNAcentral describes it as "long non-coding RNA (LSAT_LNC002247)". Lineage: Eukaryota; Viridiplantae; Streptophyta; Magnoliopsida; Asterales; Asteraceae. The record is from RNAcentral.